This 369-nucleotide ribosomal RNA is filed under the name uncultured bacterium. RNAcentral describes it as "bacterial SSU rRNA". It matches the Rfam family "Bacterial small subunit ribosomal RNA", at positions 525 to 896 of the family's 1533-position model. The record is from RNAcentral.
ACGGAGGGUGCAAGCGUUAUCCGGAUUCACUGGGUUUAAAGGGUGCGUAGGUGGGCAGGUAAGUCCGCGGUGAAAUCCCCGAGCUUAACUUGGGAACUGCCGUUGAUACUAUCUGUCUUGAAUGUCGUGGAGGUAAGCGGAAUAUGUCAUGUAGCGGUGAAAUGCUUAGAGAUGACAUAGAACACCAAUUGCGAAGGCAGCUUGCUACACGAAAAUUGACACUGAGGCACGAAAGCGUGGGGAGCAAACAGGAUUAGAUACCCUGGUAGUCCACGCCCUAAACUAUGGAUACUCGACAUCAGCGAUACACAGUUGGUGUCUGAGCGAAAGCAUUAAGUAUCCCACCUGGGAAGUACGAUCGCAAGAUUG